CGGAGGAUCCAAGCGUUAUCCGGAAUCAUUGGGUUUAAAGGGUCCGUAGGCGGUUUAGUAAGUCAGUGGUGAAAGCCCAUCGCUCAACGGUGGAACGGCCAUUGAUACUGCUAGACUUGAAUUACUAGGAAGUAACUAGAAUAUGUAGUGUAGCGGUGAAAUGCUUAGAGAUUACAUGGAAUACCAAUUGCGAAGGCAGGUUACUACUAGUGGAUUGACGCUGAUGGACGGAAGCGUGGGUAGCGAACAGGAUUAGAUACCCUGGUAGUCCACGCCGUAAACGAUGGAUACUAGCUGUUCGGAGCAAUCUGAGUGGCUAAGCGAAAGUGAUAAGUAUCCCACCUGGGGAUACGUUCGCAAGAAUG
RNAcentral lists this ribosomal RNA (365 nucleotides) under uncultured organism. RNAcentral's name for it is "bacterial SSU rRNA". It matches the Rfam family "Bacterial small subunit ribosomal RNA", at positions 526 to 896 of the family's 1533-position model. The record is from RNAcentral.